CUACUGAGAUCUGCACGCAUCAUCCAAAAAUACAUCACACAGUCCUAGACACUUGGGAAGUGUUCGACUUGUGGUUUUGUGAAACGAAAUCCAGCAUAUCUAUCUUGUUUGCUGUGUCGUACAAAGUUGUUGUGUCAAUAAUAAUAAUAAUAACAACAACAACAACAACAACAACAGUCCUAGACACUCGGGAAGUGUUCGACUUGUGAUUUUGUGAAACGAAACCCAGCAUAUCUAUCUUGUUUGCUGUGUCAUACAAUGUCAUUGUGUCAAUAAUAAUAAUAAUAACUAUCUUGUUUGCUGUGUCAUAAUAAUAAUAACAAUAAUAAUAAUUAUUAUUAUAAGCCUGCCUUUUGAAGAUGCCUAAAAUGCCACUCCAAAACAGGACAGACUUUUGCAGGAAUUCCAGAAACUUCGCAUCCAACUUUCUGAACCGGGAAAAUGCAAUAUCAGUGUAACUUUGGGGGGUCAAGAGAGGCGAACUACGCAUCCCGGGAUGCUUCGGAGCGGAGGAAGACAGGUCGGAGGUCGCAAUCUGCCGGGCAAAUCUUUUAAGCUGGCAGAUGUUUGGGAAGGGAGAUUAGGAGAUUAAGGUUGUACAUGGACAGACCGCCUGCGAGAUGCCCGUGAAAAGACAAGAUACGGCGGCCGCUUUACGCCUGAUGGAAGAAUCGCUCUUGCUGGACCAGAACUUCCGGCACAAAGCGGAGAAACUCCUCGGGAUCUUCCAGAGCGAACUCUUCCAGGCCUUGCUGGACAUCCAAGAGUUUUAUGAAGUCACGGUUUCGGAGGCCCGCCCCCCAACUUCGCGGAGGUCUCGCUGUAAGG
Molecule: long non-coding RNA, 828 nt
Organism: Anolis carolinensis (green anole)
Lineage: Eukaryota; Metazoa; Chordata; Lepidosauria; Squamata; Anolidae
Exons: 3
Source: RefSeq, a predicted model, not a curated record